GGGAAGGUGGCUCAAUGGUAGAGUGCUUGCUUAGCAUGCAUGAGGUCCUGGGUUCGAUUCCUCCACUACUUG
Molecule: non-coding RNA, 72 nt
Organism: Dipodomys ordii (Ord's kangaroo rat)
Lineage: Eukaryota; Metazoa; Chordata; Mammalia; Rodentia; Heteromyidae
Source: Rfam